This 773-nucleotide ribosomal RNA is filed under the name uncultured Neocallimastigales. RNAcentral describes it as "partial large subunit ribosomal RNA". It matches the Rfam family "Eukaryotic large subunit ribosomal RNA", at positions 23 to 642 of the family's 3401-position model. The record is from RNAcentral. Lineage: Eukaryota; Fungi; Neocallimastigomycota; Neocallimastigomycetes; Neocallimastigales.
AGAGAGAGACAUGCGCGCAUAUCAAUAAGCGGAGGAAAAGAAACUAACAAGGAUUCCCUUAGUAACGGCGAGUGAAGCGGGAAGAGCUCAAAUUUGAAAUCUUCAAGGUUUUACCUUGACGAAUUGUAGUUUAAAGAAGUGUUUUCUGCUGAAGUUUUGGUAAAAGUUCUUUGGAAUAGGACAUCAUAGAGGGUGAGAAUCCCGUAUUUGACCAUUAUUUUCAGCUUUGUGAUACACUUUCAAAGAGUCGGAUUGUUUGGGAAUGCAGUCCAAAAUGGGUGGUAAAUUUCAUCUAAAGCUAAAUAUUGGCAAGGAGACCGAUAGCGAACAAGUACCGUGAGGGAAAGAUGAAAAGAACUUUGAAAAGAGAGUUAAACAGUACGUGAAAUUGUCAAAAGGGAAGCGUUUGACGCCAGUGUUGUUUUCUCGAAAAUCAAUUAAAAAUGGCUCGAUUUUGUAUUGCUGAGACCUUAAAAGCUCACUGUACAUUUUUCGUGUCUUUUUUAAUGCACUUUUCGUUUAACAAGUCAACAUCAGUUUCUUUGUUGUAAAAGGGUCAUUGGAAGGUGGCUUUCUUUUCGGAGAAAGUGUUUAUAGCCUUUGGCCUCUGCAGUCGGAGAGACUGAGGUCUGCAGCGUAGACUCUUCGGGGUUAGAUACAUUUGUGCUAAGUUAUAGCUUUUUAUAGACAACUUGUUGACUAUAAUUAGUCUUGUAGCUUACUCGCUUAUGCUAUUUUACCUACGCUUAGGAUGUUGAAGAUGUAGCACAUCA